This 422-nucleotide long non-coding RNA is filed under the name Danio rerio (zebrafish). RNAcentral's name for it is "lncRNA (ENSDARG00000117264.1)". The record is from RNAcentral. Lineage: Eukaryota; Metazoa; Chordata; Actinopteri; Cypriniformes; Danionidae.
CUGAAAACCAAGAAGUCUUUCAUACAUCUAACGAGAGCUCAGCUUGAGAACCAUGAAGUCUUUUCUCAUUGUUGCCUGUGUGUUUGGGCUCUGUUGUGCAGUGCUAGCAGUGGAUGAAGAACAUAGAGAGAAGCGCUCAUCAAGCCGUUCCUCAGAGAGAUGGCAUGGAGGAUUUCCUCGUCCCUUUCCCAACCCAUACUUUCCCCCUUCCCGGCCUCAGCCUCCGAACAUCACUGCCCUGCUCAAUCUUUUGGCAUCCAUCUUGGCAUCUUCGACCCCAGCACCCACUAGGGCUCCUGCCCCAGCCCCUGCUCGAUAAGGCAAAAUUCACUAUUUAAAACCAAGCAUGUGUCCAAUUGACAUGAUACUCUUGUUCUUGGUAUAUUCAAAAUAAUAAAUAAAUAAAUGUUGCAUCCUAAAUU